AUUGAACGCUGGCGGCAGGCCUAACACAUGCAAGUCGAGCGGAUGAAGGGAGCUUGCUCCUGGAUUCAGCGGCGGACGGGUGAGUAAUGCCUAGGAAUCUGCCUGGUAGUGGGGGAUAACGUCCGGAAACGGGCGCUAAUACCGCAUACGUCCUGAGGGAGAAAGUGGGGGAUCUUCGGACCUCACGCUAUCAGAUGAGCCUAGGUCGGAUUAGCUAGUUGGUGGGGUAAAGGCCUACCAAGGCGACGAUCCGUAACUGGUCUGAGAGGAUGAUCAGUCACACUGGAAGUGAGACACGGUCCAGACUCCUACGGGAGGCAGCAGUGGGGAAUAUUGGACAAUGGGCGAAAGCCUGAUCCAGCCAUGCCGCGUGUGUGAAGAAGGUCUUCGGAUUGUAAAGCACUUUAAGUUGGGAGGAAGGGCAGUAAGUUAAUACCUUGCUGUUUGGACGUUACCAACAGAAUAAGCACCGGCGAACUGCGU
This 483-nucleotide ribosomal RNA is filed under the name uncultured bacterium. Its description in RNAcentral is "partial 16S ribosomal RNA". It matches the Rfam family "Bacterial small subunit ribosomal RNA", at positions 30 to 506 of the family's 1533-position model. The record is from RNAcentral.